Molecule: ribosomal RNA, 255 nt
Filed under: uncultured bacterium
Lineage: Bacteria
Description: partial 16S ribosomal RNA
Rfam family: Bacterial small subunit ribosomal RNA
Source: RNAcentral
UACAUGUGGGGCAAGCGUUGUUCGGAAUUACUGGGCGUAAAGCGUACGUAGGCGGCUUUGCAAGUUAGAGGUGAAAGCCUGGAGCUCAACUCCAGAACUGCCUUUAAAACUGCAUCGCUUGAAUCCAGGAGAGGUGAGUGGAAUUCCGAGUGUAGAGGUGAAAUUCGUAGAUAUUCGGAAGAACACCAGUGGCGAAGGCGGCUCACUGGACUGGUAUUGACGCUGAGGUACGAAAGCGUGGGGAGCAAACAGGGA